RNAcentral lists this transfer RNA (87 nucleotides) under Gammaproteobacteria bacterium. RNAcentral describes it as "tRNA-Leu". It matches the Rfam family "tRNA". From Rfam's summary of the family: Transfer RNA (tRNA) molecules are approximately 80 nucleotides in length. The record is from RNAcentral. Lineage: Bacteria; Pseudomonadati; Pseudomonadota; Gammaproteobacteria.
GCCCGGGUGGCGGAAUCGGUAGACGCUGCGGACUUAAAAUCCGUUUUCCGAAAGGAAGUGCGAGUUCAAGUCUCGCCCCGGGCACCA